Candidatus Burkholderia humilis is the source of this 128-nucleotide non-coding RNA. Lineage: Bacteria; Pseudomonadati; Pseudomonadota; Betaproteobacteria; Burkholderiales; Burkholderiaceae. The record is from Rfam.
GAGAGCCGGAUGCGGGAAAUCCGCACGUCCGGUUCGAUGAGCGGGAUGUGGAAACGGAGCCAUGGUGAGGUUAUUCGGGCACCACCAGACGAAAGGGGCGGCAACAGACAAACCGGACCUACUACCAC